RNAcentral lists this ribosomal RNA (482 nucleotides) under uncultured bacterium. RNAcentral describes it as "partial 16S ribosomal RNA". It matches the Rfam family "Bacterial small subunit ribosomal RNA", at positions 30 to 507 of the family's 1533-position model. The record is from RNAcentral.
AUUGAACGCUGGCGGCAUGCCUUACACAUGCAAGUCGAACGGUAACGGGCCUUCGGGUGCCGACGAGUGGCGAACGGGUGAGUAAUACAUCGGAACGUGCCCGAUCGUGGGGGUUAACGAGGCGAAAGCUUUGCUAAUACCGCAUACGAUCUACGGAUGAAAGCAGGGGACCGCAAGGCCUUGCGCGGACGGAGCGGCCGAUGGCAGAUUAGGUGGUUGGUGGGAUAAAAGCUUACCAAGCCGACGAUCUGUAGCUGGUCUGAGAGGAUGAUCAGCCACACUGGGACUGAGACACGGCCCAGACUCCUACGGGAGGCAGCAGUGGGGAAUUUUGGACAAUGGGCGCAAGCCUGAUCCAGCCAUGCCGCGUGCAGGAUGAAGGCCUUCGGGUUGUAAACUGCUUUUGUACGGAACGAAAAGCCUUCUUUUAAUACAGGAGGGUCAUGACGGUACCGUAAGAAUAAGCACCGGCUAACUACGUG